AUUAAGGGCCAUGACACACUGACAGUGCCCGAUCUCGGAAGCAGGGUUGGGCCUGGUUAGUACUUGGAUGGGAUACUACCUAGAAAGACCAGGUGCUGUAGGCU
This 104-nucleotide ribosomal RNA is filed under the name Pteropus alecto (black flying fox). Lineage: Eukaryota; Metazoa; Chordata; Mammalia; Chiroptera; Pteropodidae. The record is from RNAcentral.